RNAcentral lists this ribosomal RNA (119 nucleotides) under Sinocyclocheilus grahami. Lineage: Eukaryota; Metazoa; Chordata; Actinopteri; Cypriniformes; Cyprinidae. The record is from RNAcentral.
GUCGGCAGCCAUAUCACCCUGUAGCCCAAGACUGGUUGCCCACUGAAGCUAAGCAGGGCUGAGCCUGGUCAGUACCUGGAUGGGAGAGGUGUUAGUGAGGCCAGCAGGGGGUGCUCACC